Small nucleolar RNA from Rhododendron vialii, 108 nucleotides. RefSeq annotates it as small nucleolar RNA snoR100. The transcript has a single exon. NCBI's taxonomy places the organism in Eukaryota, Viridiplantae, Streptophyta, Magnoliopsida, Ericales, Ericaceae. The record is from RefSeq and is a predicted model, not a curated record.
AUAAGUAGGGAGCAUGGCAAUGUGCACAGAAAUUGAAUUGGGUCUCUAGGCCUGUCUUCUCCAAUGCCAUUUGGAUUUGAUUUUGAGGCAUGGUUCCGUAGCAAAACA